GCAAGGAAUUUUGCGCAAUGGGCGAAAGCCUGACGCAGCAACGCCGCGUGAGGGAUGAAGGCCUUCGGGUUGUAAACCUCUUUUGUCAGGGACGAAUAAUGACGGUACCUGGCGAAUAAGCUUCGGCUAACUACGUGCCAGCAGCCGCGGUAAUACGUAGGAAGCAAGCGUUAUCCGGAUUUACUGGGCGUAAAGUGAGCGUAGGUGGCCUUUCAAGUCGGAUGUGAAAUCUCCUGGCUUAACUGGGAGGGGUCAUUCGAUACUGUUGGGCUAGAGGACAUCAAGGGAAGGUGGAAUUCCGGGUGUAGUGGUGAAAUGCGUAGAUAUCCGGAGGAACACCAGUGGCGAAGGCGGCCUUCUGGGAUGUUUCUGACACUGAGGCUCGAAAGUGUGGGGAGCGAACAGGAUUAGAAACCCUUGUAGUCC
This 426-nucleotide ribosomal RNA is filed under the name uncultured bacterium. RNAcentral describes it as "bacterial SSU rRNA". It matches the Rfam family "Bacterial small subunit ribosomal RNA", at positions 354 to 796 of the family's 1533-position model. The record is from RNAcentral.